This 673-nucleotide long non-coding RNA is filed under the name Cricetulus griseus (Chinese hamster). RNAcentral describes it as "lncRNA (ENSCGRG00015036321.1)". Lineage: Eukaryota; Metazoa; Chordata; Mammalia; Rodentia; Cricetidae. The record is from RNAcentral.
CGUGGAGGGGAAGCUCCGGGGCUUCCAGUGCGUGCGGAAGGCCCUGUCUUGAGACGUGCCAGCAAUGUCUAAGAGUCUGUUUGGAGCUUCCUAGAAGUUGAGGGCAAUCGGAAGAUCAAGAGUCAUGUUUGAGUCUAUCUUCCAGAUGACUAGAACACAUCUGUGCAGAUAUACUCCAGUUUGAAGGUCACUGCUCCUGAGAACCAAGUAACUGACUGGCUUAGACCUUAAAGGAAAGACACAUUGACAAUACUGUGAUGAGAAGGGUCAAAGUUGUCUCCAGCCUUGCUUCUUCGACAAAGGACCUUAGCUACUUGUUACCAUCAACAUAACACCUGAGUUCACUAGAUUUCAACUGAGACCUGCUACUCAUCCUGCAUUACUUGCACCAAAAUAUGAAACUAGAAUUCAUCUUAUUACCUCUAGAAAGACCUUCUUUUUCUACACAUUAUUCAUUCAUCACUAACCAACCCAUUAUUUAAUCCAGAGAGGCCAUCUACCCAGCUUAAAAACACCUGUACAAAGACAUAAAACAAAUGAUCAUCUCAUUAGAUGCAGAAAAGGCCUUUGACAAAAUUCCACAUCCCUUCAUGAUAAAAGUCCUGGAAAGACUAGGGAUACAAGGGACAUUCCUAAACAUAAUAAAGUAGUUUACAGCAAGCCCACAGCCAAC